RNAcentral lists this ribosomal RNA (497 nucleotides) under uncultured bacterium. RNAcentral describes it as "partial 16S ribosomal RNA". It matches the Rfam family "Bacterial small subunit ribosomal RNA", at positions 28 to 507 of the family's 1533-position model. The record is from RNAcentral.
GAUGAACGCUGGCGGCGUGCCUAAUACAUGCAAGUCGAGCGAACAGAUGAGGAGCUUGCUCCUCUGACGUUAGCGGCGGACGGGUGAGUAACACGUGGAUAACCUACCCAUAAGACUGGGAUAACUUCGGGAAACCGGAGCUAAUACCGGAUAAUAUAUUGAACCGCAUGGUUCAAUAGUGAAGGACGGUUUUGCUGUCACUUAUAGAUGGAUCCGCGCCGCAUUAGCUAGUUGGUAAGGUAACGGCUUACCAAGGCAACGAUGCGUAGCCGACCUGAGAGGGUGAUCGGCCACACUGGAACUGAGACACGGUCCAGACUCCUACGGGAGGCAGCAGUAGGGAAUCUUCCGCAAUGGGCGAAAGCCUGACGGAGCAACGCCGCGUGAGUGAUGAAGGUCUUCGGAUCGUAAAACUCUGUUAUUAGGGAAGAACAAAUGUGUAAGUAACUAUGCACGUCUUGACGGUACCUAAUCAGAAAGCCACGGCUAACUACGUG